This 1094-nucleotide long non-coding RNA is filed under the name Mus musculus (house mouse). RNAcentral's name for it is "long non-coding RNA chr11:4160371-4161465". The record is from RNAcentral. Lineage: Eukaryota; Metazoa; Chordata; Mammalia; Rodentia; Muridae.
CUCUGGGUCGCCGCCAUCUUGUCAUUGAGUUGGAUACUUCGUGUGGUGAUCUUUAAUCUUGUCGUCGCACCGGUUGUCGCCACCGAGGUGGACUGGCAGCCCUGAGCGUCGCAGUCAUGCAGGCCGGACCCGUGCAGGCGGUACCCCCGCCGCCGCCAGUAGCCACUGAGUCCAAACAGGUAUCGUGCCCCGCGCUCCCUGCCUGCAGGCCUGCUGGAGGCCUCGUUCCUCCCCUCCGCGCGGGCGCUGUGGCACUGCUGCUGGAAGCUCAGGCCACCCCGAAGGACAUGGAGGGACUGCAAGUCCCAGGAGUCAGCGCGCUGAGUUGCCUUCUGGUCUCGAAAAAGAUAUCCCUAGAACCGGACUUUUCAAAACCAGCAUGCGGACCUGCACCCCCGGCUUCCUCUGGGGUCUUAUGUGAACCACGAAGCCUCCAUUCAAAAAGAGGAGAGCUAAGCAAAUCAUUCUUUCCCCUAGAUUAGGAAUGGCUGCGUAAAUACAGUAUGGCUAAGGAAACUUGCCCUGUUUUGUUUUUAACUGCGUCCUCGGAUGCUAACCCAAGAGAGUCUGCAGUCUACAGGACAGACGUUCCUGUCAGUAUCAUGGAGCGUUUAUGAUAGCCUAAUCCGAGCCGGGGACUUGAAGCCCUUACUACCUUUUCUCUGUUUUCACAGCCAAUUGAAGAAGAAGCAUCGUCAAAGGAGGAUCCCACCCCUUCCAAGCCAGUGGUCGGCAUUAUUUACCCUCCCCCGGAGGUCAGGAACAUCGUCGACAAGACUGCCAGUUUUGUGGCCAGGUAACAGCUGCUUCUGCACAGAGGGAACUUGUAGUAUAAAGGUCUUUUAAAGCAGCACAGGGGCAUCAUGGGGAGUUCUAGAGGCUCUGGCUUAGACUCCUUACUUCUUCCAAAACCACAGGAGAGCAAUGAGGUAGGUGAUAGAUAGGACUGGUAUGGUUGACAUACCACAACAGUAAUCGCAGUGAAAGCCAUGCCUAGCUGUGUAGUCACUAGGAGUUUCUGCUUCCAAAACAAGUCUGUGGAAAUUCCUGGUAGCUUCUUUGUGGCUGCUGAUGUGCAUAUGCUGUGUUAACCU